Long non-coding RNA from Pseudoliparis swirei, 1085 nucleotides. RefSeq lists it as uncharacterized. Lineage: Eukaryota; Metazoa; Chordata; Actinopteri; Perciformes; Liparidae. The record is from RefSeq and is a predicted model, not a curated record. The transcript is spliced from 2 exons.
GUUGUCGAUGACUUUGAUGACGAUGGGCGGCAUGUAGAGAUCCUCUCGGGGAAGCCUCUGGUGGAGGAAGAGCGUAUUGCAUCAACAACGAUUUCCCGUUCAGAGGAAAGUGGACCGUCACUGCUCCUGGAGAAGCAGGCUAGCGGUUUCCCUCCGUUUCAAGUCUUUAUGCUAAGCUAAGCUAACGUCUGCUGGCUUCGUAUUGAUUGUCAAUCUUCUCAUUUUAAACCGUGACGUUACCGGAUUGCGUAUAUUCAUUACAGAUCGUUUAUUAGUUUUAAAUAUUUGUGAUUUUCGGGCCUAUCUGUCAUUGAGUACGCCACCGCCACCUGCUUGGCGGGUUUAUUCAUUUUCCGGGAAAGAUUGUACGAUGUUUUAAAUACCGUGACUUUGAGCUAAUUUAUUGUAUUCAUUAAAGUUCGUUCUUUAGUUUGAAUUAAUUGUGUUUUAUAACGUGUUUAACCGCUGCUGAGUACGCCCCCGUCACCUCGGCCGCUUUGAAACCGACAAACAGCUUGGCGUGUUUAUUUAGUUUCGGGCAAGAUUGUACGAUGUUUCUUAUAAUGUGACUGAGCAAAUGUUUAUGUUUUUUCAUUACAGUUCGUUCUUUCGUUUGAAUUAAAUGAAUUAAAAGUGUUUUUCGGGCCAAACUGUCGUUGAGUACGCCGCCGCCUCCUCGGCAAACAGCUUGGCGCAUUUAUUAAGUUUCAGGCAAAAUUGUACGAUGUUUCUUAUACUGUGACUUUGAGCUAAUUUAUUGUUUUUAUUACAGCUCGUUCUUUAGUUUUAAUUAGUUGAAUAAAAAGUGUUUCAACUGUCGUUGAGUACGCCGCCGCCACCUCGGCAAACAGCUUUGCGUGUUUAUUUAGUUUCGGGCAAGAUUGUACGAUGUUUCUUAUACCGUGACUUUGAGCUAAUUUAUUGUCUUCAUUACAGCUCGUUCUUUAGUUUUAAUUCAUUGUGUUUUACGACGCGGUGGUUUUUGGGCUUCACUGCUGCCGAGUACGCCGCCGCCACCUCGGCCGCCUGCCGUGUUUUUUUAGUUUUGGGUGAGAUUGUAUGCAAUAAAGCCAUUUUAAAAAUGA